GAGUUGACCCUAGUACGAGAGGACCGGGUCGAACUAGCCACUGGUGUACCAGUUGUUCUGCCAAGAGCAUCGCUGGGUAGCUAAGCUAGGAUGAGAUAAGAGCUGAAAGCAUCUAAGCUCGAAGCCAACUCCAAGAUGAAUCUUCUUUUAAGAGCUCUAGUAGACUACUAGUUUGAUAGGCUGGGUGUGUAAUGGAUGAAAGUCCUUUAGCUGACCAGUACUAAUAGCUCGUUUGCU
RNAcentral lists this ribosomal RNA (237 nucleotides) under Campylobacter fetus subsp. testudinum. Its description in RNAcentral is "partial 23S ribosomal RNA". It matches the Rfam family "Bacterial large subunit ribosomal RNA", at positions 2669 to 2925 of the family's 2925-position model. Lineage: Bacteria; Pseudomonadati; Campylobacterota; Epsilonproteobacteria; Campylobacterales; Campylobacteraceae. The record is from RNAcentral.